CUUUCGCCCGAGGCGGGCUGCGGGCUGCUGGGGUCUGGUGCGGAGGGCCAACUUCUGGGAAUAACCUGGCUGUGGGCUUAAAAAUCGUAGUCAUUCAUUAUCACGGGCUUCUCUCUCUCGAAUACCUUUAACAUUUAUCGCCUUGUUAGUCUCCACAUCCACCUCCGUGAAAGAGAUGGAGUCUCGCUAUAUUUCCCAGUCUGGCCUCAAACUCCUGAUCUUAAGGGAUCCCCAGCUCAACCUCUCCCAGCAGCUGGGACUACCGGGCUGUCAAAUUUACAUUAACUAUGAGAAUUAAGCAGGAAUUCUCAAGGGUCUCUUUGGAGGCUUACCAAGGACAUCCAGCUGCACAGUGAAGGUGGCUUCUCCUGCUCUAUUCUUGGCAACACAUGCAUAAGCCCCUGCAUCUGAAGCUCUGACUACUUCAAAGAUGAGUGAAUGAAGACCCUUCUCAGACACUAUCAUUUUGUGCAAAUCAUCUGAUUGAACUGUUCUUCCAUUUAGAUACCAUGACACAUCAGGAGCUGGCAGUCCACUCACCUAGAAAGAAAAACACAAGGAGAUGGCAGAAUUUUAAAGUAUUGCAUCACUGAAACCUAUUUGUCCAUAUAUGAAUUUAAACAGUUCCCGUAUCUGAGUGGGUUUGCGAUUGAAAUGCAAAGCAAGAGCUCAAAAGUAUUUAUAAUUUUUUAAACAAAACAUUGGAAAUAAGAUCCUUGAAAUUAACAUAGUAUUUUUAGACUGUCUCAAACCAUAACUCUUUUACAUGCAACCUCAGUCUCUUUAUGAACUCUUAAUUUCUAUAUUUAGAACAUUAAUUUAUGUUACAUUGGUUUCCAUAAGGAAUAUAGAAGUCAUUGCUUUUCUGGCUAAAUGUGACUGCAAAUGAAGUCCCAGAGGCACAUAUAUAUGAGGCUUCCUGAUCUAAUGCGUAAUUUUUCUAAAACAGAGUGUUCUUGAGCUAUAGUUUGGCAUAUAAAUGGCAAUUUGUUAAGUGUUUUUACAUAAACUGUUAACAGUGGAAUCCAAAGCUUUAACACUAACUUGAGUUCAUAAGGAAUCUGGAAAAAAAAUUUUAUAAGGAAAAGUUCUCCAAAAUAAGGAUAAUAAAAAUAUAACCUCUUCUAAAGAGCUUUUCUAGUCUGAGGGACUCUUUUAGGCCAAGAGAAAGCAGGGUGGCUUGAAUUUCUUGAUAGAGGAGAAUUGGAGAGACAUUAUACUUUAAGGCUGGGCACAGUGGCUCACGCCUGUAAUCCCAGCACUUUGGGAAGCCAAGGUGAGUGGAUCGCCUUGAACCCAGGAGUUCUAGACUAGCUGGGCAUGGUGGCACGCGUCUGUAGUUUCAGCUACUAGGGAGGCUGAGUUGGGAUGAUGGCUUGAGCCUGGGAGACAGGUUGCAGUGAGCUGCGAUUGUGCCAUUGCACUCCAGCCUGGGUGACAGAGCAAGACCCUGUCUCAAAAAAAAAAAAAAGGGCAUUGUACUUUAAAAAUUAUAUUGUUCUGAUAGCUUCACUUAUAAAAGUAUUUAUUAGGUAUACCUAUCCACUCAAUUAAUCCUCAUAAUUUUUUGGGGUAUUUGUUAUCCCAUUUUACAGAUGAGGAGACAAAAGCACAGAGAGGUUAAAUGACUUGUCUAAGGUUGCUUAGCUGGAGGAUGGCAGAGCCAGAAUUCAAACCCACAUCAGUUUGACUUCAGAAUUUGUGUUCUUGUCCAUUGUACGUACUGCUUUGCAAGCUAUGAAGUAGGAAAAGAACAUUUUUCAAAACUUAGUAUCCCAUUGUUAAUUUUCCCCCAGUACUUUUGAACCCUUCUCUUACUUUGAAGUCCAUUCUGCAGAAUCUUCCUUCAUCAAUCGACAUGUUCUCUGGCACUUGAAUGAAACGUGGUGGGUAAAAUUUCUCCUGGAUUGCAUCCUGAUCAUUCACAUCUCCCCUUGAGGUUGAUCUACUUCUACAAGAAUAUUUUGGUAACAACUAUGCGUAAAUAUUAUCAUUGCUUUUCAUUUUGCACAAAUAUAGUUUAGCCAUCAAUUUUUUUUUUUCAAUGGAGUUUCACUCUUGUUGCCCAGGCUGGAGUACAGUGGCCCAAUCUCAGCUCACUCAGGAGGCUAAGGCAGGAGAAUCGCUUGAACCCGGGAGGCGGAGGUUGCAGUGAGCCGAGAUCGCGUCGCUGCACUCCAGCCUGGAUGACAGAGUGAGAGUCUGUCUCAAAGAUAAAUAAAUAAAUAAAAAUAUCCAAAUUAAGUUUUUGACGUUUUUCUAUAGUGGUGGUGUGAACAUGUAUAUAGUUAUAUUCAGAGAUGUGGUAUUUCAGUUAUACCAACCUCCGCUUCUUGGGUUCAAGUGAUUCUCUUACCUCAGCCUCCCGAGUAGCUGGGAUUACAGGCAUGUGCCACUACGCCUGGCUAAUUUUGUAUUUUUAGUAGAGAUGGGGUUUCACUAUGUUGGUCAGCCUGGUCUUGAACUCCUGACCUCAGGUGAUCUACCCACCUCGGCCUUCCAAAGUACUGGGAUUACAGGUGUGAGCCACUGCGUCCAGCCUAGCCAUCAAAUUUGAAACCACAGAAUCUACUGUUUGAUCUGAUAGUGUAAUAACAAUGAAGAGAGGCCUUAGGGCUGUAUUUACCUGUGGCAUAUUUGAUGACUAUUAGAAAUGGUAGCAAUUUAGAAACAUCUGGUACAAAUUGUACAUCUUAGUUUCUCUUUUACAGUGCCAUGAAUUGAUGAAGAAAUGGUCUAUUAAAAUGCCCAGUACCCAGCAGAUUAUUCUUACCACCAAAGAUUGUAUAAUAAGAAUUAGGUCUCCAUUGUCAUGAGAAAAUUGUUUAAUAUAGAAGCAUGAUCCUGGCUUAUUUGACCAAAACAUUAAAAAAUUCCCCUGUGAUAGUUUUGAUGAUGAACGUCAAAAUUUUGGUCAUCUUCUCAGACAUUAGAAAAUACACAUUGUAUUUUUCAAAAGGUAUAGAGUAGGCUCGAGGGCUUUAUAAAUAUUACAUUUUUAAGCUGAAAAUAUUUUAGAUAGGAAAACAUACAUUUCUUUAAAAUUAAAAUUUUUUACCUUACUUGUGAUGUAGGAACUUGCAGUCGCGCAUGUUCUGAGUUGUGUUGCUUGAAAUUAAAACAAAGUAAGAAUGUUUACAUGCAAUUGUUAGCUUGAAUGAAGCAGAAUUAAGUAGUUACAGUUGAAAGGAACAUUCCUAUUUUGGCUGUAUUUGAACAGCCCUGGUAAGUUCUAUAUAUUCAGCUUUUAAGCCCUUAAAGUACAGUGCACUAACAUACUACCACUCUAGCAAGAAGCCCAGAAUUAAUGGGACUAUUCAACAAGUAUUAUUUAUGAAAAUUAGCUAGACUUGGAAUUGAUGGUGGUUCAUUUUUCAGAUGACUAUUUUAUGACAAAGGGUGAUGUGUCUCCCUGGUGCAUUUGAAAUGGGAGCACAGAGUACAGAUUGUCCUUUAGUAAAACAGGAAUAGACAUGAAGUCACUUGUAUUGGCAGUAGCUGCAGGGUAUUAUGCCUGCUGCUCAAAAGUGGCACCAACAGCAGUAAACACAUAUUAGACUGGAAAAUUCUUCUCUUUUUAGCUCGUGGCACAAAAUCCUGAUGGACUCCACGAAAGAAUCCGAAAGUCAUCUGAGUUGGCUAUCUGCACGUUCUCUCUGUACCAGUGAACUUGAACUGUGGCUGUGGCCUGGAUUCCGCAUUCAAACAUGACCAACUGACCUCUGGUUGUAGGGAUGUCUUGAAGAUGCUGAAGAACAAACACAGAGUUCAGAGGAUGGAAGAAACUGUUAUACCAUCUACAAUGAUUUGAAAUGCCAUUUGCAACUGCAGUUGACCGUGGGUUAUUGAAACCACAGAAAGUGAAACUGGAUAACGAAGUGAGUACUAUGUUGUAAUUUCUUAAGAGCCCUGAAUUAGGGAACUUGGGCCAAAAUAUUAACUCUGCCACUGGCUGAUUGAAGCUGGUUAUAGGAACUUGGAAAAGACUAUUAACUUCUCUGGAACUCAGGUUCUUUGUCUAUGAAAUAGGGCUAGCAAAAUAUGUGGGGUUUUGAGGUUCAUUUCACAAAGGUCUGAAAACUUCCUGUAAAGAGUAAGAGUUAUACAGAUAUAUAAAAAGUGUUUUUAGCUAGUUUAGUAUCACAAUGUAUAAAUGAAUGGAUGGCAUUUAUGUUAAAUUUACCCCUUAAAUCCUGAUCUUUCUCCUCCCUCUACCUGCAACCCCAGAGUACCCUGGAAUCUAGAAUGAUAUUUCAGAUUAUAACUUGGCAGUGAGACCAGAGAGCGGGAAUCUGAGGUCUUUCUACAGGUUAGACUAAGGACCAGCCUAACCCUCAGGCUUGAUGCCCAGAGGUCUCAGGCAUCUUAUAGGGAAGGAAUGCAGCAGGAGAGACUUGUAGAAAUAACAGACAUGUACGUGACAGCAUCUGUUGAAAACAAGCUUCCAGAAUCAAUAGCAAUGUCACUUACUCUUAAUGACAUUGUUUUGUUUGUCUCCCAUCCUGUAUCUGGUACAGAUUAAAUCCCUGCCCUGCAUUUCAUACUUUGAGCCAGCAAUGGGCAUUGAUUCCAAUUCUGCCAGGUUUGGUAAUUGGGAGACAGAGAGCCCAGAGAAGGCUUAGCCCUAGUUUUGGUUUGACCGGGGUGAUUGAAUUGUGCUAUUUCCAGUGGGUGAGAGGGAAGAUAGUGAUUCCUGGCUGUGACCUAAUCAGGACUUAGUUACUACUUUGCUUGUUGACUUCUUCAGAAUGGCAUUUUAUGGCUAGUUAAGAGAAUUUGACUAUAUUUUGAGGUCAGGCAAAGCAGUCUCCUUGGAGGGGACAGUCUAAGCAUUGCCCUCCAGAGGUGGAGGACGGCCACAGAGCAGAAGUCUAAAGAGCACAGGGUAAACCAUGAAUUGCUCUGUGACACUGAGCAAAUCAUUUCACCCCUUUUCAGCCUCAUUUUUUCUCAUAUAUAACGUGAUAAUAAUCUCUGAAAUCCUUUCUGAUUUCCCCUUUUUUUCUUCUCACCGCUUCACUAAUGUCUAAAACUUACUUAUAAAAUCUAAACUCCAUCAUGCAGUAUGGAGAGGUUACCUUGGUAAACACAGAGGGUACUACACAAGUGGAUCCUGACAGGCUGCUGCAGGGACUCUGCAUCUGGUUUAAGGAAUAAAAGAGAACAUGGUGCUGUCACUCAUACUGUCAAAGCCCUGAAACUCAGGUCCAUGGUUGCCAGAAACUGACGGGCUCAGUUCUAGCUGCUACUGACCACACCUUAACUUUCCUUUAUGAAAAGCAUGAUGCUUCUAAUUUCAGUGUCAGUUUGGGUAUUUGCUCCAGUGUGCUACACUUGCUUCUUUAUCCUUCAGCAUUCCAUUAGCUGAGAUGGAGAAAUACAACACUGGGCAAUUAUAUUUGGGAAAUGCAUAUUGGCAAGUAUUUAGAUACUAUAUAUUAAACAUUUAAAAAAAGUUUAAAUUUUACUAAAUUUUUUUUCUUCCUCCAUACAAUUGCUCUUCUUGGAUCUUUUAGAUUUCCAAAAAAGCAUCUCCCUCCCCCGCUUUUUUUUUAAAUUAAAAGGGAAUUCAUUCCUCGGAUAGUUGGAAUAUUCUCUUAUGGGAACAAGUUCCUAGAAACCAACUGUCCCUUAUCUGGCACACAAACAAAGGGCCAAGCCAUAGAGCUACCAUGGAGUUAUUUCUGAAACCUAUGGAUUUCUUUCUUGUUCUUUUGAGUUCAUGCAGCUAGAGGCUUUCUUCUUGUAUACUUCUUAAGAAAACUGCAUUGACUCCUUUUUCUUGGGCCUAUGUCUCCAUUACUAAGACCCUCUCAGAAGGCUUAAAACUGAACUUACCCUCUAGGGAUUAAUAUACAGUUGUUGAACUAAGUUAGAGUAACUUGAUCUGUUGUUGGAGGUUUCAUUCGUUGGGGAGCUGAUGGUCAGAGAAACUCUAGUGGUUUUCUUCUUUAUCCUGUGGGGGAAACAAAACCAAACACCGUCAAGUGAAAGAAAGAUUAGAGGCGACUUUGAUAGAAAUGCCUCACUGUAUACACAUUUGAAUGUAGCACACAUUUUUACCUAUAAUUCUUAAAUUUCUCUACAUUUGCAUAAUCAUUUUAAUACUUUUUUUGCCUUUUUAACCAAUUAUUAGUGGAUUAUGGUUCCUAAUUGUUUCACUUUAAAUUUCUUUUGUCUCAGUCUGGUAAUCAGGGUGUGUUAUGAAACACGUUGUCUAGAAGAAAUAACCUAUAAAGCAAAUAAUCACUUAAAAGUUUGUCUGCAAAGUCUUAGGUUUUUUUUUUUUUUUUGGUAUUUUUUAAAGUGGAACUUUCACUAUAUUCACACGCAACAAAUGCACAUCCACAUGAGAUUCUGCACUUACCCUGAAAUUUCUGUAGCACAUUUCAACCACAAUUCCAGAGAUAAAACUUCCUUACUUCCCUGAGCACCUGCAAGAAAGAGAAAAAAUAGAUUUGUUCUAAAUCUCAUUGGGUUUUAAUACAAUUUAGUUCCAGUGUAUUGUAUUUACACUCGGACUAGCAGCAGGUAUCGGUUACAGACAGGUUAAUCCAGAACAUCUGGAUUCUUUUUAUUUUAUUUUAUUUUUAUUAUUUUUUUCUUUUUAGAUGGAGUCUCGCUUUGUUGCCCAGGCUUGAGUGCAGUGGUGUAAUCCUGGCACACUGCAACCUCUACCUUCCGGGUUCAAGCGAUCCUCCCACGUCAGCCUCCUGAGUAGCUGGGACUACAGGCUGCACCACCAUGUCUGGCUAAUUUUUGUAUUUUUAGUAGAGAUGGGGUUUCACCAUGUUGGUCAGGCUGGUCUUGAAUUCCUGACCUCACAUGAUCUGCUGCCUCAGCCUCCCAAAAUGCUGGGAUUAUAGGUGUGAGCCACCAUGCCCUGCCCAGAACAACUGAAUUCUUAACUCAGGAUGGAACUACUUUAGCAUUCUCCAUUUUAGAAAUCCAGAUGUUUACCUUUAUAGAGUUAUAGCACUUGUGCCCAGAGGAGGUAUUGAGUCAUUUCUCAAAAACAUUAUUUCAGAGGGCAUAAAUUAGUAUCUGUGAAUUUGUGUUUUGGUCUGAAGUCUUCAGAAUAUUUGUUAUAGUAAGAAAUAUAUUGAAACACAUUGCUAUGCUUACUAUAAGGAAGGAUGUUAUCUUAGUCUGUUCAGGCUUGCUAUGAUACCCUUUAAAAUACCUUACUGGGUAAUUUGUAAACAAUAGAAAUUUAUUGCUCACAGUUCUGGAGGCUGAGAAGUCCAAGACCAAGGCACCAGCAGAUUUAGUAUUUGGUGAGAGCUGUCUCCUUCGUAAAUGGUGCCUUGUUGCUGUGACCUCACAUGGUAGAAGGGGCAAGGGAAUUCCCUCAAGUCUCUUUUAUAAGGAUACUAAUCCCAUUCAUGAGAGUGGAGUCCUCAUGACUUAAUCACUUCCCAAAGGCCCCAGUUCUUAAUGCUAUCACAUUUGAAUAUUAGGUUUCAACAUGUGAAUUUUGGGGGGACGUCAGCAUUUGGACCAUAGCAGAUGUUGUCAGUGUUCCUAUUAUCUCCAUGAUGAUUUACUAGAGAAAUGUAUUUCAGUUGUUAGUACCAGGAAUAAUUGAGCGUCUCCCACGAUACUAGUUUAAUUUUUCCUCAUAGACACUAUUAGUCUUAAUAUUGGUUGUGUUGCUGUGUUAGCUAACUGAAAGUUUAGAGCUCACCUCAGAGCCAGUAAUUUUUUAAUUUAAAAUUUUAUUUUCAUUAAAUUGAAUUUAUAUCUAAAUAUUCAUUUUCAGUUUAGGAAAACUUCUAAGUGUGUUUAGAACAGUCUAGGUAUAUGAAUCUACUUUUUAUAAAUUGCAUACAAUUUAAAUACAUGAAGUAUUUUAAAUGAAAAUUUAGCAACUAAAUUCCAAUGUUUUAAUGCAAAAUACAGUUUUAAAGACUAAGUACCAAAAAAGGUAAAAUUAUUAUUAUUAUUCUUAUUGUUGAGAUGGAGUCUUGCUCUGUUGCCCAAUCUGAAGUGCAGUGAUGCGAUCUCUGCCCACUGCAACCUCUGCCUCCUGGGUUCAAGCGAUUCUCCUGCCUUAGCAUCCUGAGUAGCUGGCAUUACAGGUGUGCCACCACACGCAGCUAAUUUUUUUUUUUUUUUUUUGUAUUUUUUGUAGAGAAGGGGUUUCACCAUGUUGGCCAGGCUGGUCUCAAACUCCUGACCUCAAGUGAUCUUCCUGUCUCAGUCUCCCAAAGUGCUGGGAUUACAGGCAUGAGCCACUAUGCCCGGCUGCAAAAUGAAUUUUUAUAUUGAUUGCACGUUGAAAUGAUAAUCUUUUAUAUAUGUUGUGUUAAAACAUAUUAUUAAAAUUAAUUUUACCUGUUCCUUUUUGUAAUUUUAGUGUUACCAUUAGAAAAUUUAAAAUUAUAUAUUUGCUGUUCUCUUUUCUGAUAGGCAUUAUAUUUUUAUUAGAUGGCACCAUUCUGAACCAUGAGCUUUCCUAAAGGGUUAAUAAAACUUUCUCAAUAUCUUCUAAA
This is a long non-coding RNA of Homo sapiens (human), 8495 nucleotides long. RefSeq annotates it as PKD2L2 divergent transcript. The transcript is spliced from 5 exons. The record is from RefSeq and is a predicted model, not a curated record. NCBI's taxonomy places the organism in Eukaryota, Metazoa, Chordata, Mammalia, Primates, Hominidae.